RNAcentral lists this ribosomal RNA (137 nucleotides) under uncultured bacterium. Its description in RNAcentral is "partial 16S ribosomal RNA". It matches the Rfam family "Bacterial small subunit ribosomal RNA", at positions 355 to 509 of the family's 1533-position model. The record is from RNAcentral.
UGGGGAAUAUUGGACAAUGGGCGAAAGCCUGAUCCAGCCAUGCCGCGUGAGUGAUGAAGGCCCUAGGGUUGUAAAGCUCUUUCAACGGUGAAGAUAAUGACGGUAACCGUAGAAGAAGCCCCGGCUAACUUCGUGCC